This 468-nucleotide ribosomal RNA is filed under the name uncultured bacterium. RNAcentral describes it as "partial 16S ribosomal RNA". It matches the Rfam family "Bacterial small subunit ribosomal RNA", at positions 28 to 507 of the family's 1533-position model. The record is from RNAcentral.
GACGAACGCUGGCGGCGUGCUUAACACAUGCGAGUCGAACGGAAAGGCCCUGCUUUUGUGGGGUGCUCGAGUGGCGAACGGGUGAGUAACACGUGAGUAACCUGCCCUUGACUUUGGGAUAACUUCAGGAAACUGGGGCUAAUACCGGAUAGGAGCUCCUGCUGCAUGGUGGGGGUUGGAAAGUUUCGGCGGUUGGGGAUGGACUCGCGGCUUAUCAGCUUGUUGGUGGGGUAGUGGCUUACCAAGGCUUUGACGGGUAGCCGGCCUGAGAGGGUGACCGGCCACAUUGGGACUGAGAUACGGCCCAGACUCCUACGGGAGGCAGCAGUGGGGAAUAUUGCACAAUGGGCGGAAGCCUGAUGCAGCAACGCCGCGUGCGGGAUGACGGCCUUCGGGUUGGAAACCGCUUUCGCCUGUGACGAAGCGGGAGUGACGGUAAUGGGUAAAGAAGCACCGGCUAACUACGUG